GUGUGUGUGUGUGUGUGUGUGUGUGUGUGUGUGUGUGUGUGUGUGUGUGUUUGCGUGCAGGUGGGUGGGUGAUUUGUGUGCGUACGUGUAUGUCUGCCAGCUGAGGGCAGGAAGGCAGGUGACACGGUUGGAAAACAGAGGGAAUAAAAGAAGAGCAGCCGUGCUCACGUGCUUUAAGCUCCUUGGCGCUAAUCACUGUGAACAGAGGCACCUGCCACUCGGCCCGCCAGCACACACAGGAGCGCCUGACCAUAUGGAGCGCCUGACCAGUGCAACACACCGCACCAUAUGGGGCUAAAUUCAACUCAUUGCAAGAUCUCUCAACACGGCACACCUUAACUGACAAAGUGACUCCACCAAGACUGCGUGCACACAGGAGGCCGUAAUGGACUGUGUGAGGUUUGGAGUGGACCGGGAGGCCGUAAUGGAGUGUGUGGGGUUUGGAGUGGGACAGGAGGCCGUAAUGGAGUGUGUGAGGUUUGGAGUGGACCUGCGUCACACAGCUGGUAGAGUUCAGCUCCCAGCUGUGUGUGUCUGAGCCUUUUCUGGCCGCUUGCCCCAAGAGGCCCGAUUAGCCACACACACUCCGGGUUGUUCCAGAGCUAACUACAGGCAACACAGGGUGAGGCUCAACCAACUCACCUUUCUUCCUCUCCCCACCUUCAUUCUUUUUGCCUGUGAGAAACAGAAGAUGGUACAGUCUGAGAAAAGUCUUCACUUUGUCAAAUGUGCAGAGAAAAGGAGCCGAGCCAUCAGUGGCACAGCAGCAUGGACUCAGCUAAGUGCUGCUCAUCUCGUCUCUGAUGUUCUCAUCACAUCUAAUGCAUCAAACCAUCAUUCUCAAGGUCAUUGUGAUCUUUUAUCAUUCUCAAGGGUGAAAAUGAUGCCUGUUUGGGAGUUGACACCCACAGCUGUCACAACCAUUUUCCCUGAGCCCUCCAUGACAUGGGUGCCUGGAAGAGACAAAUCAGCUAAAGUCAGACACACUGGAUGCAAAAUUGUUCCAAACGUAGAAGAACUGAGACGAUGAUCACUUCCUCCUCAGACGAUGAUCACUUCCUCCUCCGACUCAGGCGUACGUUCUCCAUCAUUCCCUCUCUGGGAACAUUCUGUUCCAUUUCUGUGUUCCAUUCCAACACAUAUUUCCAGACGCUGUUCAUAUAUUACACCUGACACGUUACUGCAGGAUAGCUAUAGAUAAAUUGUGAGCAGUGACUCAGUAAGCACGUUUUUGGCAGCAAUUGAGCAGAAGCUGAGCAGAGCGAGACCUAAAACAAGACCAAUGAGACGCCUUGUUCUUGUGCUCUGCAACAUAUCUACACACACCCUGUGAAGGGGAUCUCCUCUAAUUGCAUCUUUCAUUAGUUUAACACAAAAGGCACUGUGUACCAACCAACCGAUCUAUUAUGUCAUAUCUUCACUGAGGUAUGAUCUUGUCAAAACAAAUGUCUGGAGCAUCUACGUCUUCCAGAGAAGCUGGAACAAGCUGGAGGUUUGGAUGAGAGGGGUCUCUCAUUUCGGUAGCUCGGUAUGGUGUAGCUUAGCCUUACAGCCAUUAUGGCACAAAUGAUUAUGGCAUGGAAAGAGGGAUUUAGCAAAAUGACAGGGCUGCAUCACCUGAGAGCAACAUGGGGUCUUUAUCGAGUGUCUUCUUCACAUGGUCUGAUUCUCCAGUAAGAGAGCUUUCAUCGAUCUUCAGAUCGUUGCCCUGGAUUAGCACUCCGUCCGCAGGAAGCAGGUCACCUGGAAACAAGCACCAGACAGGAGACACAGCCACUAGGAUCUGGAUGACCUGUCCUCCCCGGACGACCGUGAAGCGCUGUUCCUGCUCGAUGCGGCUCUGGAGGCCGCGA
Molecule: long non-coding RNA, 1853 nt
Organism: Alosa sapidissima (American shad)
Lineage: Eukaryota; Metazoa; Chordata; Actinopteri; Clupeiformes; Clupeidae
Exons: 4
Source: RefSeq, a predicted model, not a curated record